UAAGGAAUAUUGGUCAAUGGGCGGAAGCCUGAACCAGCCAUGCCGCGUGCAGGAAGACGGCCCUACGGGUUGUAAACUGCUUUUGUACGGGAAUAAACCCCUCUACGUGUAGAGGGCUGAAUGUACUGUAAGAAUAAGGAUCGGCUAACUCCGUGCCAGCAGCCGCGGUAAUACGGAGGAUCCAAGCGUUAUCCGGAUUUAUUGGGUUUAAAGGGUGCGUAGGCGGUUUAUUAAGUCAGGGGUGAAAGACGGCAGCUUAACUGUCGCAGUGCCUUUGAUACUGAUGAACUUGAAUGUACUAGAAGUAGGCGGAAUGUGACAAGUAGCGGUGAAAUGCAUAGAUAUGUCACAGAACACCGAUUGCGAAGGCAGCUUACUAUGGUAUGAUUGACGCUGAGGCACGAAAGCGUGGGGAUCAAACAGGAUUAGAUACCCUGGUAGUCCACGCCCUAAACGAUGAACACUCGAUGUUGGCGAUAUACGGUCAGCGUCAAAGCGAAAGCGUUAAGUGUUCCACCUGGGGAGUACGCCCGCAAGGGUGC
Molecule: ribosomal RNA, 542 nt
Filed under: uncultured Mucilaginibacter sp.
Lineage: Bacteria; Pseudomonadati; Bacteroidota; Sphingobacteriia; Sphingobacteriales; Sphingobacteriaceae
Description: bacterial SSU rRNA
Rfam family: Bacterial small subunit ribosomal RNA
Source: RNAcentral